This 484-nucleotide ribosomal RNA is filed under the name uncultured bacterium. RNAcentral describes it as "partial 16S ribosomal RNA". It matches the Rfam family "Bacterial small subunit ribosomal RNA", at positions 30 to 507 of the family's 1533-position model. The record is from RNAcentral.
AUUGAACGCUGGCGGCAGGCCUAACACAUGCAAGUCGAGCGGAUGAAGGGAGCUUGCUCCUGGAUUCAGCGGCGGACGGGUGAGUAAUGCCUAGGAAUCUGCCUGGUAGUGGGGGAUAACGUCCGGAAACGGGCGCUAAUACCGCAUACGUCCUGAGGGAGAAAGUGGGGGAUCUUCGGACCUCACGCUAUCAAAUGAGCCUAGGUCGGAUUAGCUAGUUGGUGGGGUAAAGGCCUACCAAGGCGACGACCCGUAACUGGUCUGAGAGGAUGAUCAGUCACACUGGAACUGAGACACGGUCCAGACUCCUACGGGAGGCAGCAGUGGGGAAUAUUGGACAAUGGGCGAAAGCCUGAUCCAGCCAUGCCGCGUGUGUGAAGAAGGUCUUCGGAUUGUAAAGCACUUUAAGUUGGGAGGAAGGGCAGUAAGUUAAUACCUUGCUGUUUUGACGUUACCAACAGAAUAAGCACCGGCUAACUUCGUG